AUGGUCAACCUCCCUAAGAGAUUUGGGUCUUUUAUACCUUCUUCCAUUUUGCUCAAUUGUUUGGAUUCAUGGAAGAAAUAUCGGUUCAUCGCUCGGCCCCAUCUUGGGAUGAUGUUUGAGGCCAUCAAGCAUCUAGAGCCUGCUCAUGUUGACAUGUUAUGGCGUAUGUAUAACAUUGAUCAUGGUCUUAUUGUUCAAGAGGUGUCGAAAGGAUCUAAUGCUGAGAUACUCGGAAUCCAAAAAGGUGAUGUUAUUGAAUCUAUCAAUGGAAAACCUGUUUCUACCACAAUUGAGUUGGAGAAUAUGCUGAUGAGCACAUGCAAGGGCCUUGCUGAAGUUCAUAUUUCUGUUGGGGUGUUUCACACACUCAAAGAAGAACGAAGCACCGUACAGUUGAGUGCAAAAUUAUCAAAACUUGGAGAAGUUAUUACAAGCUAG
This 438-nucleotide ribosomal RNA is filed under the name Triticum aestivum (bread wheat). RNAcentral describes it as "partial small subunit ribosomal RNA". Lineage: Eukaryota; Viridiplantae; Streptophyta; Magnoliopsida; Poales; Poaceae. The record is from RNAcentral.